This 630-nucleotide long non-coding RNA is filed under the name Volvox carteri. RNAcentral's name for it is "long non-coding RNA (VCAR_LNC002784)". The record is from RNAcentral. Lineage: Eukaryota; Viridiplantae; Chlorophyta; Chlorophyceae; Chlamydomonadales; Volvocaceae.
UGUGGCAUAUGGAUGUGCUUAGAUGUAUGAAAAUGUGGCAUAUGGACAUCCUUAGAUGUAUAAAAAUGUGUGUGGUACAGCCGCAAUGCCCAUUUGUACUUAGGGUUUGACUGGUGCAGGGAUCUAGCCGAUACCGAAACGUGCGGAGAGACCUGCGGAAAUAGGCUUCUUCCCACUUUCCGCAGAGGGCCUAAAAUGAAGGAAAUGCGGAAAAAGAAAUCGCUUGCAGUACUGCGGAAAGUCAAAAACAUAUUCCACGCCUGUGCGUUUACUUCACAAGUGACAAUACUUUAGUGUAAAAGUCUACAAUCACUGCGCCCGACCUCGGGGCUAACGACAUUCUAGAGUUCGACUGUGUUCCAGCUCAAAGAAGGUGGAAGGCCUGCUACCGACGUUUGGAAACAUGUUGAUAGAAAACAUUAUGACAAGAGCAAGAACUGCUCUGCUACCUGCAAACAACAUCGGAAGGACCCGAUCCGAGCGUACCAAUCCAAUCCGUCAAAAUCAAGCACUAUGGGGGAGGCCUAUGAUAAGUAUGCUCUGGCCUGGGGGAUUGGGGGUCAAAGAGAGGCGGAAUGCUUGCAGAUCCCACGAGACUGAACCGCAUUGCCAAGAGCGCGAUUGAGAUUG